Mytilus californianus (California mussel) is the source of this 4054-nucleotide long non-coding RNA. RefSeq lists it as uncharacterized. The transcript has 2 exons. The record is from RefSeq and is a predicted model, not a curated record. NCBI's taxonomy places the organism in Eukaryota, Metazoa, Mollusca, Bivalvia, Mytilida, Mytilidae.
CUGUUCAAUUGUAUAUAAGGGUAAAUCGUGCUGUGAUCGAUAUUAUAUCUUUGAAUCGAAUUGUCAAUGCGCUAUUUCAAAACCUGUUCAAAUAUUGUAUCACAAGAGAAGUUAUUGUCAACCUUAUCUUAAAAAGGAACUUGUUAUCGGACGUUUGUUUAUUUAUUUAUGUAUGAGAUGCUACUGUUACCAUGAGAAACACUCAUCUUGAAUGAAUGUUUGAUAUAAGGUAAACAAAAUCAUCAAGAUGUGUCUUAAAUGGAUUGUUCGAUUAUCGAUUGUGGUUGCUUCUCAGAAAAAAAGAAGAAGAAGAAUAUGAAUUAUCGUAUUAUUAUUGACAUUUAAAUAGUUUUGAAAAUGUUGAACAUGUCUGAAGUGAAAAACGUAAAAUGUGUGUGUAUAAGGAGAAAAUUUGAAUGUAAGAUAAUUACAAUUAUAUUUAAAAAUGCUUCCCAAUGUUACAACCACUACGUUGGUUGGAUAAGUGUUUUGCUAUCUUCAGUUGCAUGUGUACUGUUUGUAAAUUGGUGUUUUUAUCUUCAAAUGUUUCCUUUAGCCAUAGUGUUGUUUGAGUUUCGUUGACAUUCUAAGCAUUCAUGUUUUUUUAAUUACUUAAAACAUUAAGACUACCAGAACUUAAAAAAUAAGUCAAACCAAAUAAAAGACAAAAGACAGAACAGAAAUGGCGGCCAAACAUUUUGACCUUAACAGUUUUUGUUAAUCGAUAAAGUUAUUAUAGCUCGUGAACAAACUUAUCACACACGGUCACAAAAAAAGAAAAAAAACCUAUUUAGUAAAAACACUUGGUGUAUAUUAAGUCUGAGCACUUGUAAAUAAGGUGAAAUAAGUUGCCACGUCCAGACAGCAACCAAUAUAAUUUUCAUAUGAAUUCAAAUAAAACAGAAAACACCAUUUUUGUAAGCAAAUUUUGUACCUGUACUUGUUCAGUGCAAAUUUGAACAUUAAGGCCGUGUUCACACCAAACGCCAUGUACAGUAAACAUGUUUACAAUUACUUUAAUGUAAUGUACAUUGGUUUUACAUUGAAUUUGUUCUCAUCAAUACACCUGGUUUAAUUACCUGUACAUUAGAUUUGUUCACACUUGUAAACUAUAUGUCAUUUAAAUGCUCAUUACAUAUAAUCGAAUUCAAAUUUCUCGGACAAUUUUUCUAGCAGUUAGGAAACAAUGAUUUGACUUCAAAAAGGGGGUAUGUUUUUUCCUUAAAAAAUAUUCUGAUCCCCAAUUUGACCACAAAAGAAAUAUUCUGGUCAAGCAGAUGACAAAAAAAAAUAUUCCUAAUCCAGAUUUUCCCCGUACCUUAUAUUGUUAAAUAUUGAAAAAAAAUGCUUUGAGUCUUGAUAAGGGAAUAAUAAAGCUACCUAAAGUUUUUAUCAAGUUUAGACAAAUAAUUAUGUAAAGAAAAUUAUUAAUAAUUGUUAUAAAUAACAAUUUUAUCUAAAAAACGUUUCUUCCUUAAAUAUACAUGGUAAAAUCCAUGUUCUAAAUAUCUAGUUUUGUGUAAACUCAACCCACACAUGGCCUACAUUGACUAUCGACUGCAUGUAGACAAAACAUGAUUUAAACUACAUGUAAACAUAGAGUUGUAUCAAUGAGAACGUAACUGUGUUUAGUUUGCGUGUGAAUUGCACUAACACAACACCGAGUUUAGGUCAAUGUGAACACGGCUUAAGACAAAAAGUUUAGAUGUACUUAUCUUUGUAAUUCACACUAAUUCUACUUUACUGGUUUAAACUUUUUCAUCUAAAAGAAGUAUGUCCAUUGAUUUUUCAAUAUCUUUCUUUUAUUUUCAUUGCACUAUUCAUCAAAAUACCUUUACGAUCGAUUCAUUUGGCAACCAUUAUAUAUUUCAUCUAUAUUGCGUUUUUGAAUUCAAAAAUAAGGAGAUUUGGUGUGAUUAACAAUAAAACAACUAUCCACCAGAGACCAUAUGACAUAGAUUUAAGCAAAUACGGGUCAUUGUACAGCCUUCAACAUUUAGCAAAAUUAUAUAAAAAAAAAUACCAACUCCAAAGUAAAUCUAAAGAAAGGGAAGUCCAUCAUAAAAACUGACAAUUCAAACGUUAUCAAUCGACGUAAUGAGGAGAAACCUCAGUAAUUUUUCUGACUUGGUACAUACAUGGCGAGUCAAACCUGGUUUUAUAGCUAGCUAAACUGCUUAAUUAUGUGACAGUUCUGUUAUAUUGACAAAUUGGUUGAGCAACUCAAACAGGCAUAAAAGGUGAAUGAGAAAAUAAUUGGGAUCCAGCAGCCAAAAAUAUAUAAACAUACAACACAGACAUGCAACACAACUGACUUUAAAUUCAAACAACCUUACAAAUGAAUGUAAAACAAAUCGCCGACACAAAUGUUGUAGUUGAUAGUAUAUUGACAAAGACGCCGAUAAAAAAAAUUUGUACAAUGUAUUUUAUGAUAUUAGUACAUACCAUAUAUAGUAUACACUUCCUCAAUAAAGAACAAAUUAAGUAAAAUAUAAAAACAAGGGUAAAGACAAUGGAAACAACACUGUAAAAACCUUUUGCGUCCGCAAUGCACUUCAGAACUCUUCCUUUCGAAAAUUUUACGAUUUUGCUUCUUACGCAUAAACUGCUCCAACAUAGUUAAAAGGAUGAAAAAUAAAAAAAUGACAAUCCGAAAGUUUAAUGGACACCAUCACGAUUUGGUUGAUCUAUAAUAUGUAUCUGUGUCUAAACUAACUAACGACAUGUUUACCACGUCUUACAUUGUGGCUAAUCAUCUAUGUCGUCUGGUCUGCUAAGUACCGAACGUGACUCCUUCCCGGAUAUGACUGUUUUGCCGAGAGUAAAUUCGCAUUGCUAUUAGACAUGUAUCGGUAUUUAUACAUCCAACAUUCAUGUAUUUAGCUAUAAUGUGUCUUUUGUAAGUCUGGUUGGAUAUUGUGGUAUAUGUUAUCCUUUGUGAUUUGAAUUCUAUUUUUAUUUUCUUUAUGUAUUUUAAAGUUUAGAUAAUUAAUCAGCAAGUUCAUUUAUAUGAUUUUUAGUUUUAAGCAACUAUAUGCAUAGGAUUUAUUUGUUUUUACACAAUUUUGAUUUAGAAAACCCGAAACGGUUAGAAAUACAAAUAAUUACACCAUUCCUAACACAAUUCUAUAUUAAUAUUCUUGUAAUGGUCAGAAAAUACAUAAUGUAACACCAUUACUAAUUUAAUCCCAAUUUCAUAUUAAAUUUUUAGAAUUUACCUGUGACGUCACUUUUUUAUAGCAUUGAUACAAACAUGUGACGCACAGUUCAGAAUUCUAAUGUGGUGUACUGGUGUACUAUGUACCAUAUAAGCGAGAGGUUUGGCUAGUUAUACAACAAGGUUCAACCCACAAUUUUUUUUAAAGUCCUCUGCCAAGUCCAGAAUAUGGCAGUUGUUAUCAAAUAAUCCGUUUCUGUUUAUGUUGGCGUUUGCUUUUGAAGCACUCUCUAUGUUUCUAUUGUUCCAUUGGUGUCCUCUUAUAGUUGAUGACUUUCCCUCGGUUUUGGUUUGUGAUCCGGAUAUUUUUUUAUAGCUUAAUUGAUUUAAGACUAUUGAAUAACGUUACACACCUGUUGUCCUUAUUUAACUUUUAUGGAAUAUCCGUUUCAAUCUUUGUUACCACAAUCCCGCCCCUUUUCAAGAAUUUGACCCACCGAAUUAUACUUAUGACCGGGUUUUUACCUACAUGAGCAAACCGACGGCUGUCGCAUAUGGAGCAGGAUCAGCUUACCCUUUUAGUUUUCUAAAUUAUGUUAAUAAACUAUUGUUUGUCUUUUUGGUCUUUUUAUUUGCCAUGACGUUGCUAAUAUAUCUUCCACCAGUGGGUUUGAAUGUCCCUUUGGUAUCUAUCGCUUCCAAGUCCCAACUUUACCAGGAAUAUGAUUUCAAAGAAAACAACAUAAUUUUAGUAAGCAGAUUUUGUAUCUGUACAUGUUGAGUGCAAAUCUUGACAUAUAGAUAUAUUGUUCUAAUUUGGAUUUGUAAACUUCUUCUGACGAACAAGAUCACAUUUAUUUAUAUUUUUUGGCAACCAUUAUAUAUUUUUAAUCUGUA